Canis lupus familiaris (dog) is the source of this 409-nucleotide long non-coding RNA. RefSeq lists it as uncharacterized. The transcript has 2 exons. The record is from RefSeq and is a predicted model, not a curated record. NCBI's taxonomy places the organism in Eukaryota, Metazoa, Chordata, Mammalia, Carnivora, Canidae.
GUCCAAUUAACAUAACAUCAUCAAUACACGUCUAUGGAUUGUCCAGAUAUUAAGGUCCCUCUGAAGUAUACUGUAGCAAAGGGCAGAUGAGUGUCCCACUUUUAAGAGGCCUGAUCUCCAGAGCUGUAAGUCAACUGAUGUUGUCCUUCAUGCCUCAACAGGGUUCAUGGAAUUUGGAGUUUUGAAGAGAUCAUUUCUUAGGCCCAGAUUAACCCUACUCAGCAAGUUUAUGACUGCUUCUGAGUUUUUUAGUGAUGAAUGAUGAUCAUCAUGAACAAAAGAAAUGGAUAUUUUGAACCUUGAGAUGACAUACCAAAACUUAUGAUACAAUUAAAGAAGUGCUUAUAGGAGAGAGUAUAACUGUAAAUAAAUAUUUAUAUUUAAAAAUAAAUAUUAAAAAGAAUUUAAA